GAUGAAGAACGCAGCGAAAUGCGAUACGUAAUGUGAAUUGCAGAAUUCAGUGAAUCAUCGAGUCUUUGAACGCACAUUGCGCCCCCUGGUAUUCCGGGGGGCAUGCCUGUCCGAGCGUCAUUGCUGCCCUCAAGCACGGCUUGUGUGUUGGGCUUCCGUCCCUGGCAACGGGGACGGGCCCAAAAGGCAGUGGCGGCACCAUGUCUGGUCCUCGAGCGUAUGGGGCUUUGUCACCCGCUCCCGUAGGUCCAGCUGGCAGCUAGCCUCGCAACCAAUCUUUUUAACCAGGUUGACCUCGGAUCAGGUAGGGAUACCCGCUGAACUUAAGCAUAUCAAUAAGCGGAGGA
RNAcentral lists this unclassified non-coding RNA (347 nucleotides) under soil metagenome. RNAcentral's name for it is "partial contains 5.8S ribosomal RNA, internal transcribed spacer 2, and large subunit ribosomal RNA". The stretch from base 1 to 120 matches the Rfam family "5.8S ribosomal RNA", at positions 35 to 154 of the family's 154-position model. The record is from RNAcentral.